Molecule: ribosomal RNA, 491 nt
Filed under: uncultured bacterium
Lineage: Bacteria
Description: partial 16S ribosomal RNA
Rfam family: Bacterial small subunit ribosomal RNA
Source: RNAcentral
AGUGAACGCUGGCGGUAGGCCUAACACAUGCAAGUCGAACGGCAGCACAGUAAGAGCUUGCUCUUACGGGUGGCGAGUGGCGGACGGGUGAGGAAUACAUCGGAAUCUACUUUUUCGUGGGGGAUAACGUAGGGAAACUUACGCUAAUACCGCAUACGACCUACGGGUGAAAGCAGGGGAUCUUCGGACCUUGCGCGAUUGAAUGAGCCGAUGUCGGAUUAGCUAGUUGGCGGGGUAAAGGCCCACCAAGGCGACGAUCCGUAGCUGGUCUGAGAGGAUGAUCAGCCACACUGGAACUGAGACACGGUCCAGACUCCUACGGGAGGCAGCAGUGGGGAAUAUUGGACAAUGGGCGCAAGCCUGAUCCAGCCAUACCGCGUGGGUGAAGAAGGCCUUCGGGUUGUAAAGCCCUUUUGUUGGGAAAGAAAAGCAGCAGGUUAAAACCCCGCUGUUCUGACGGUACCCAAAGAAUAAGCACCGGCUAACUUCGU